RNAcentral lists this ribosomal RNA (68 nucleotides) under Candidatus Ryanbacteria bacterium RIFCSPLOWO2_02_FULL_45_11c. RNAcentral describes it as "partial 16S ribosomal RNA". It matches the Rfam family "Bacterial small subunit ribosomal RNA", at positions 1324 to 1390 of the family's 1533-position model. The record is from RNAcentral. Lineage: Bacteria; Candidatus Ryaniibacteriota.
AGUUGGAAUCGCUAGUAAUCGCAGGUCAGCUAUACUGCGGUGAAUACGUUCUCGAAUCUUGUACUCAC